RNAcentral lists this non-coding RNA (22 nucleotides) under Arabidopsis thaliana (thale cress). The record is from RNAcentral. Lineage: Eukaryota; Viridiplantae; Streptophyta; Magnoliopsida; Brassicales; Brassicaceae.
GGGCAGUACAUGGACAUAUGUC